Molecule: ribosomal RNA, 859 nt
Filed under: uncultured bacterium
Lineage: Bacteria
Description: bacterial SSU rRNA
Rfam family: Bacterial small subunit ribosomal RNA
Source: RNAcentral
GAUGAACGCUAGCGGCAGGCUUAACACAUGCAAGUCGAGGGGUAGUCUAGCAAUAGAUGAGACCGGCGCACGGGUGCGUAACGCGUAUGCAAUCUACCUUUUACAGAGGGAUAGCCCAGAGAAAUUUGGAUUAAUACCUCAUAGUAUAACGACUCGGCAUCGAGAUGUUAUUAAAGUUCCAACGGUAAAAGAUGAGCAUGCGUCCCAUUAGCUAGUUGGUGUGGUAACGGCACACCAAGGCAACGAUGGGUAGGGGUCCUGAGAGGGAGAUCCCCCACACUGGUACUGAGACACGGACCAGACUCCUACGGGAGGCAGCAGUGAGGAAUAUUGGUCAAUGGGCGCAAGCCUGAACCAGCCAUGCCGCGUGCAGGAAGACGGCCCUCUGGGUUGUAAACUGCUUUUGAUAGGGAACAAAUGCCACUUGCGAGUGGAGCUGAGUGUACCUAUAGAAUAAGCACCGGCUAACUCCGUGCCAGCAACCGCGGUAAUACGGAGGAUCCAAGCGUUAUCCGGAAUCAUUGGGUUUAAAGGGUCCGUAGGCGUUUAUAAGUCAGUGGUGAAAGCCCAUCGCUCAACGAUGGAACGGCCAUUGAUACUGUAGAUCUUGAAUUAUUAGGAAGUAACUAGAAUAUGUAGUGUAGCGGUGAAAUGCUUAGAGAUUACAUGGAAUACCAAUUGCGAAGGCAGGUUACUACUAAUGGAUUGACGCUGAUGGACGAAAGCGUGGGUAGCGAACAGGAUUAGAUACCCUGGUAGUCCACGCCGUAAACGAUGGAUACUAGCUGUUCGGAGCAAUCUGAGUGGCUAAGCGAAAGUGAUAAGUAUCCCACCUGGGGAGUACGUUCGCAAGAAUGAA